Long non-coding RNA from Zingiber officinale, 128 nucleotides. RefSeq lists it as uncharacterized. The transcript has 3 exons. Lineage: Eukaryota; Viridiplantae; Streptophyta; Magnoliopsida; Zingiberales; Zingiberaceae. The record is from RefSeq and is a predicted model, not a curated record.
GAAGAAAAAUGUUGAAACUUUUGCUGCAUGGGGAAUAGAUUACCUCAAGUAUGACAACUGCAACAAUGGAGAUUUGAAACCCAUGGAGAGAGUGACUAAAAGUCUUGAAAAGAACACCAUAUGCACCA